This 385-nucleotide ribosomal RNA is filed under the name uncultured bacterium. RNAcentral describes it as "bacterial SSU rRNA". It matches the Rfam family "Bacterial small subunit ribosomal RNA", at positions 29 to 417 of the family's 1533-position model. The record is from RNAcentral.
AUUGAACGCUGGCGGCAUGCUUUACACAUGCAAGUCGAACGGUAACAGGCCUUCGGGUGCUGACGAGUGGCGAACGGGUGAGUAAUGCAUCGGAACGUGCCCAAUCGUGGGGGAUAACGUAGCGAAAGUUACGCUAAUACCGCAUAAGCCCUGAGGGGGAAAGCAGGGGAUCGCAAGACCUUGCGCGAAUGGAGCGGCCGAUGUCAGAUUAGCUAGUUGGUGGGGUAAAGGCCUACCAAGGCGACGAUCUGUAGCGGGUCUGAGAGGAUGAUCCGCCACACUGGGACUGAGACACGGCCCAGACUCCUACGGGAGGCAGCAGUGGGGAAUUUUGGACAAUGGGCGCAAGCCUGAUCCAGCCAUGCCGCGCGCGGGACGAAGGCCU